GCCUCUGUAGCUCAGUUGGUAGAGCGCGGGUCUCAUAAGCCCGAGGUCGAGGGUUCAAGUCCCCCUGGAGGCA
Molecule: transfer RNA, 73 nt
Filed under: Candidatus Woesearchaeota archaeon
Lineage: Archaea; Nanobdellati; Candidatus Woesearchaeota
Description: tRNA-Met
Rfam family: tRNA
About the family: Transfer RNA (tRNA) molecules are approximately 80 nucleotides in length. Their secondary structure includes four short double-helical elements and three loops (D, anti-codon, and T loops). Further hydrogen bonds mediate the characteristic L-shaped molecular structure. tRNAs have two regions of fundamental functional importance: the anti-codon, which is responsible for specific mRNA codon recognition, and the 3' end, to which the tRNAs corresponding amino acid is attached (by aminoacyl-tRNA synthetases). tRNAs cope with the degeneracy of the genetic code in two manners: having more than one tRNA (with a specific anti-codon) for a particular amino acid; and 'wobble' base-pairing, i.e. permitting non-standard base-pairing at the 3rd anti-codon position.
Source: RNAcentral